Molecule: long non-coding RNA, 906 nt
Organism: Olea europaea var. sylvestris
Lineage: Eukaryota; Viridiplantae; Streptophyta; Magnoliopsida; Lamiales; Oleaceae
Exons: 4
Source: RefSeq, a predicted model, not a curated record
CUCAAAGCACGCUAAAGUAAAAUUCAUAUUAAAACAAAAGAAAUUUGGCGUCUUCUCACGAUUCCUCUCUCACUUCACUUGAUGCCUUCUCCAAAAGUCCACACGACGACGUCCUCCAUCCGGCAACAUCCUCCACUCCGACGAGGUCCUACAAUCUGACGAGCAUAAAUCUGAUUUUGCAUCAAAUCCAGGGCUGAGCUAUUUGAGACUUGAAUGAGAUCAAGGCUUCCUCGUCAGUAAUUAUGCUUAAAGAGGCUACAAAUUGUAAAUCAAACACAAGCGGCAAUAAGUACCAACAUAACAAACAGAAGCAUAGUAAAGUUGGAGAAAUCCAUCAUGAAUGCGAGGAAGGAUGUGCGAAGAAGGCAGAAACCAAGUAGUUUAUUAUAUAGCGAUCGAGGGAGAUAAUUCGCACAACAAACCAAGGUGUCGUACAUGAGCAUUUCUUGUGCAAAUGUCCUUUCUUUACGGUCGAAGAUAUCAUUUGUGUGAUUAUAAAGGACGAGGAAGACUGCAUGGAAAGAAUGAGCUAUUCAACUAUAAACACUCAUCAUGUCGAAACAUUAUUGAACGUUGCAUUGGAGUAUUAAAGGCAAGAUUUCCCAUUUUUGAAGUUAACGACCAAUUAUCCACUUGAUAGACAGAGACAAAUUCCUACUACAGGUUGCACAAUACAUAACUUCAUUCUUCAGGAGCACGCCUUGGAUAGACUUUUUGCUCAAUAUUCAUUAGAGUAUGAUAUUUGAAGAUGUGUCAGAAUUGUGUGAAGAUACAAUUUGAUGCUAGUCAAACAUCUCAAAUGGGAUAAUUCAGAGAUCAAAUUGUUAUACAAAUGUGGAAUAACUACUCAACGACUCAUACAUGAUUCCAUAGAUUUAUUUUAUUGUUUGAAUUCUACCUUUUUUU